GUGGGGAAUAUUGGACAAUGGGCGAAAGCCUGAUCCAGCCAUGCCGCGUGAGUGAUGAAGGCCUUAGGGUUGUAAAGCUCUUUCAGUAGGGAAGAUAAUGACGGUACCUACAGAAGAAGCCCCGGCUAACUUCGUGCCAGCAGCCGCGGUAAUACGAAGGGGGCUAGCGUUGUUCGGAUUUACUGGGCGUAAAGCGCACGUAGGCGGAUUGGUCAGUUAGGGGUGAAAUCCCAGAGCUCAACUCUGGAACUGCCCUUAAUACUGCCAAUCUAGAGUCCGGAAGAGGUGAGUGGAACUCCUAGUGUAGAGGUGGAAUUCGUAGAUAUUAGGAAGAACACCAGUGGCGAAGGCGGCUCACUGGUCCGGUACUGACGCUGAGGUGCGAAAGCGUGGGGAGCAAACAGGAUUAGAUACCCGAGUAGUCC
This 425-nucleotide ribosomal RNA is filed under the name uncultured bacterium. RNAcentral describes it as "partial 16S ribosomal RNA". It matches the Rfam family "Bacterial small subunit ribosomal RNA", at positions 354 to 796 of the family's 1533-position model. The record is from RNAcentral.